RNAcentral lists this unclassified non-coding RNA (200 nucleotides) under uncultured Entoloma. RNAcentral's name for it is "partial internal transcribed spacer 2". Lineage: Eukaryota; Fungi; Basidiomycota; Agaricomycetes; Agaricales; Entolomataceae. The record is from RNAcentral.
AAUUCUCAACCUUCUGAAUUUUUACAAGUUCAGUAAGGCUUGGAUUUGGAGGUUGCUGGCUUUUCACAAAUCAGCUCCUCUUAAAUGUAUUAGCAAAAUCUUUGCUGACCAUCAUUGGUAUGAUAAUUAUCUAUAUCAUUGAGAAUCGGCUUCCGUCUUGGAGGGUUUUGCUUCUAACAGUCUAUAUAGACAACUUGACA